ACUUGGAAGACUAAUUUGGAAUUCUCGUGGUGCGACUGUAUCGGGAAUUUUGAGUUAGAUUUUUCUGCCCAGCGGAGUUUACGAGUGGUGUGACUGUAUCUCGCAAGCGACGUUGUAUUAUCUGGUAUCUAAUUACCGGUUGUUGUUUAUUAUUUUGGCCAUCAUCUAACCUCAGCUUCGUCAUGAGCAUCGCCAUCUUCAAAGGGCAAAUCAUCUCUUGCAAAAGGAAGCUAUCGGGCCCUCAUAGCACACUUCCUCUGAUUUCUUCACUCCGUUUACCAUCUUCCUCUUAUCAUCUCCUUCAGCAACAAAUUGAAACCCAAAAUAAUCCCAAUAGCCUUCCAAAAAAUCAGUAGUCGACGACUACAUCACUCUAAAUGAGCCCUAAUUUCUUCACUUUUUUGGAUUUCGGAAUCGAAUAAAAGCAAUAUCUGCACACGAGUUUUCAGGUUAAUUUCGAAACCUCUGUUCUAUUUUUCUUUCUUAUGAAUUUUGGGGAAGAAUCGGUGCCUGUUGUAUGGAAAUUAUAAAUUAUACAGUUGUUAAAAACAAUUGUAUUUGUGAAUAUCAGAAGAAAGUUUCAUGUUGCAUUCCAACUGCUCGAUAGAAUGCUUCAACCAGGUUUAUCAAUAUUUUUUCUAAUCUUUUUAUUCAACCUCAACUCUUAUUUUUGAAAAUAUAAAUGCUUUCUUUGUAAAGAAUUUCAUUGUCACUAUGGUGUUAAAGUAUCACCCGUAGAUGCUACAAGAAUACGUCCAUGGCGAAGAACACAUAAGCUUCAUAUAUCCAAGUUAGAGUUUGCUUUCGGAAAUAUUUGAAAGACAAAAGGGUUGAAGAUGGACACAGUAUGUUGCAUAUUUUGCACCAUUUACAUCUUAAUUAGAUUGAUCCUGAAAUAAUUAUGUUAAUGGUUUCAAGAUGAUGAUACUCUUAAGAACAUCGAUGAAUAAGGAAGAGGUCGAGUUCAUGAUCAGAGACACCAUUCACGCUUCUUUCUCUUGGUAGACUGGUCAAUUCCAUGAUAAGAAACUCAGGCUCUUGGUCUUAAACAAUUGAUGUUAUAUAUAUGCAAAACCAUUUUCAUCAUAUACAUCGUGAUUCAGCUUCAAUCCUAGCUUAGACUAGGGUAAUGGAUGAUUUCCUAGCUUCAAUCCUCCAUAACCCAUCUCUGGAUCUCUUCAAAACAUUUCUCCAAAGGUGAAUUUUUUGCUCUAUUCUUUAAACAGUACCAAUGCUUGCGAAAGAAAGUUUAAAAGCUUUAGGUGGAUUGGGUUUUCUUUCUCUUGGUGGGAAAUUCCUUCUCAGGCAUUUUCAGGUUGCUGCAGAAGCAAGAAGCUCAGAGGAUUUUGUAGCACACUGUUUACUAACAGUUGCAGGAACAUCACUUAUAACUCAGAAAUUAGCAACAUACUUAUAGUUUUUAACCAUAAUAGGAACAUACCUUAUAGGUAUGAAUUUGUAAGAAUUUUUAUGUACUUUGCUUUCUAUGUGUAAAGAAAAAUUAAUAGAAAGCUUUAUUGGCAAA
Molecule: long non-coding RNA, 1525 nt
Organism: Lactuca sativa (garden lettuce)
Lineage: Eukaryota; Viridiplantae; Streptophyta; Magnoliopsida; Asterales; Asteraceae
Source: RefSeq, a predicted model, not a curated record